GAGAAACACAAAGUUUGCAUUUUCACUCGGUCAUUAAGCUCUUCAAGGAGAACAGAAGCGUCCAUAAAACAGAAUGCUGUUGGAGGGAUUGUGUCGGAUGAAGAAAAGGAAAGGAUGGUCUGCAAUAAAGACUGGGUUUUCCGAAAUUGAGGUUAUUCCAGCCACGACGCCGGUGGCUGCAGCCGCUUCGGUUCCUUCCUCGUUUACUUCAACAAAGGCUUUAUGAAGCGCCUUCGUCACCACCAGGUCGUUGUUGGGUGACAUGCCUGAAAGAUUCACCUUCUGCACAUUAAA
Long non-coding RNA from Carassius gibelio (silver crucian carp), 294 nucleotides. RefSeq lists it as uncharacterized. The transcript has 2 exons. Lineage: Eukaryota; Metazoa; Chordata; Actinopteri; Cypriniformes; Cyprinidae. The record is from RefSeq and is a predicted model, not a curated record.